ACAGGGUCCUCUGAUCAGCUUAUACAGAAGCCAUACAGCUGUGCAUCAGAAGCGGUCUCUGAGAUCAAGACAAGUGACUGCAGCAAAGAGGUCAGUCUCAAUCCCAUCACAGAGGAAGAACCCACCCUGUGUUAUAUUUGAGACAACAGAAGGGGAAGUCUGCAGCCACUGGAAACAAGACUGGGUAUAUGAAAAGAUCAAGGAGCUAGAGCACGCACGCAGAGGAGUAAGACUGCUCUCAACUCCAGCUCACAGAGAGCAUCCUUCUUUAUUACGAAUAGAAAGGACUACAGACAUUUGUUUUAAUUUGAAAUACUUUUAAAUGCUUUCUAAUUUCAUCUCUAUUGUAUAUUUGUAACCAGGGAUGUUUAUUUUUUCUGUUUUGCCUUUUUAAUUUAAAUUUCCGCUUAUGGUAUGUGCUUGCUCUUUUCAAACACACCGUAUAUCUCCAUGACAAGAGUAAUACAGCUGAGACUUUUAUGGUGUUUUUCAUAAAUGAAAUGACUGAUCCCAUCAUGUAUCCACAGUCUUGUUGUUAUCUGAUUUUCUUUGCUCGGUUACAA
Molecule: long non-coding RNA, 563 nt
Organism: Pundamilia nyererei
Lineage: Eukaryota; Metazoa; Chordata; Actinopteri; Cichliformes; Cichlidae
Exons: 4
Source: RefSeq, a predicted model, not a curated record